Molecule: ribosomal RNA, 491 nt
Filed under: uncultured bacterium
Lineage: Bacteria
Description: partial 16S ribosomal RNA
Rfam family: Bacterial small subunit ribosomal RNA
Source: RNAcentral
AGUGAACGCUGGCGGUAGGCCUAACACAUGCAAGUCGAACGGCAGCACAGUAAGAGCUUGCUCUUACGGGUGGCGAGUGGCGGACGGGUGAGGAAUACAUCGGAAUCUACUUUUUCGUGGGGGAUAACGUAGGGAAACUUACGCUAAUACCGCAUACGACCUACGGGUGAAAGCAGGGGAUCUUCGGACCUUGCGCGAUUGAAUGAGCCGAUGUCGGAUUAGCUAGUUGGCGGGGUAAAGGCCCACCAAGGCGACGAUCCGCAGCUGGUCUGAGAGGAUGAUCAGCCACACUGGAACUGAGACACGGUCCAGACUCCUACGGGAGGCAGCAGUGGGGAAUAUUGGACAAUGGGCGCAAGCCUGAUCCAGCCAUACCGCGUGGGUGAAGAAGGCCUUCGGGUUGUAAAGCCCUUUUGCUGGGAAAGAAAAGCAGCAGGUUAAUACCCCGCUGUUCUGACGGUACCCAAAGAAUAAGCACCGGCUAACUUCGU